GAUGAACGCUAGCGAUAGGCUUAACACAUGCAAGUCGAGGGGCAGCAUGGUCUUAGCUUGCUAAGGCUGAUGGCGACCGGCGCACGGGUGCGUAACGCGUAUGCAACUUGCCUCACAGAGGGGGAUAACCCGUCGAAAGACGGACUAAUACCGCGUACACUCUAUGUUGGGCAUCCAAUGUAGAGGAAAUGAAAUUCGCUGUGAGAUAGGCAUGCGUCCCAUUAGCUAGUUGGUGAGGUAACGGCUCACCAAGGCGACGAUGGGUAGGGGAACUGAGAGGUUGAACCCCCACACUGGUACUGAGACACGGACCAGACUCCUACGGGAGGCAGCAGUGAGGAAGAUUGGUCAAUGGGCGAGAGCCUGAACCAGCCAAGUCGCGUGAAGGAUGACUGUCUUAUGGAUUGUAAACUUCUUUUAUACGGGAAUAACAAGAGUCACGUGUGGCUCCCUGCAGGUACCGUAUGAAUAAGCAUCGGCUAACUCCGUG
This 490-nucleotide ribosomal RNA is filed under the name uncultured bacterium. RNAcentral describes it as "partial 16S ribosomal RNA". It matches the Rfam family "Bacterial small subunit ribosomal RNA", at positions 28 to 507 of the family's 1533-position model. The record is from RNAcentral.